UACAGAGGUCCCAAGCGUUGUUCGGAAUUAUUGGGCGUAAAGGGCGCGUAGGCGGCUUUGCAAGUGACGGGUGAAAGCCCUCGGCUUAACCGAGGAACUGCCUGUCAGACUGUAAGGCUUGAGACCGGGAGAGGUGAGUGGAAUUCCCAGUGUAGCGGUGAAAUGCGUAGAUAUUGGGAGGAACACCAGUGGCGAAGGCGGCUCACUGGACCGGAACUGACGCUGAGGCGCGAAAGCGUGGGGAGCAAACAGG
RNAcentral lists this ribosomal RNA (253 nucleotides) under uncultured bacterium. Its description in RNAcentral is "partial 16S ribosomal RNA". It matches the Rfam family "Bacterial small subunit ribosomal RNA", at positions 524 to 776 of the family's 1533-position model. The record is from RNAcentral.